Molecule: long non-coding RNA, 703 nt
Organism: Apis mellifera (honey bee)
Lineage: Eukaryota; Metazoa; Arthropoda; Insecta; Hymenoptera; Apidae
Exons: 2
Source: RefSeq, a predicted model, not a curated record
AAAUUUUCUAUGAUAUUUCAUCGGGAUAAAAUAUCGAAAUAAAAUAUCGACACGAAACAUCGACACAAAGAGACUGAGUAAAGUGAAAACCGCAAUGGCCGGUAAGUCGAUUAGAAAAUAUACGACAUUUCUCCGAUUCUUUUUUCUUCUUUGACACAACGCAUGAAAAGUCUGACCUCACGGUAUACGUUGGAUCAAAGCAAGUUUCUCUCGUCGUGCAUUGAGGCCGAUUCCACGGCGUAAUGCACAUAUAUGACUUAUUAAGUCAAGUUUAUGACCGACGAACAAACACGAAGAAACAUCAAAUUAUAAGCGUGACAAACAUCAAUGAACAUAAUCUGCAACAUGUUGUAUACUUACUAUACUAGUAGUAUCAUUAAAUCUCUUAACAUAAACAUAAAUAUAUAAAGGUGUAUAUAUGUGAGAUGUACGAGUAUGAGUGUAUGGAUACUUUCACUAUGGUCGAGGUCUCCCAUAUACAACGCGAUUCCGACUUCCUUCCAUAAUAGAUAUGAACUUUCUCCGGUUUCGCAGCAGCUGCGGCUCGAUCGCAUGGUCACGUUGCGUCAUGUUAAAUCUAGAUUCCGUGAUAAGCGAUAUAAUAAUGCAAAGGUGUUAAUGAAAUAUUAAUAAUUAUAUUGGUAAACGAAGAUGACAUUUGGAUGUUUGAAGAAAGGGUGAAAAUAAACGGUAUUAAAAAACA